Molecule: ribosomal RNA, 326 nt
Filed under: Candida tropicalis
Lineage: Eukaryota; Fungi; Ascomycota; Pichiomycetes; Serinales; Debaryomycetaceae
Description: eukaryotic LSU rRNA
Rfam family: 5.8S ribosomal RNA (bases 1-125)
Source: RNAcentral
GCAUCGAUGAAGAACGCAGCGAAAUGCGAUACGUAAUAUGAAUUGCAGAUAUUCGUGAAUCAUCGAAUCUUUGAACGCACAUUGCGCCCUUUGGUAUUCCAAAGGGCAUGCCUGUUUGAGCGUCAUUUCUCCCUCAAACCCCCGGGUUUGGUGUUGAGCAAUACGCUAGGUUUGUUUGAAAGAAUUUACGUGGAAACUUAUUUUAAGCGACUUAGGUUUAUCCAAAACGCUUAUUUUGCUAGUGGCCACCACAAUUUAUUUCAUAACUUUGACCUCAAAUCAGGUAGGACUACCCGCUGAACUUAAGCAUAUCAAUAAGCGGAGGA